AGUACCUUGUCCGCUUCAAAGGCAUAUUAAGUGCUAGAUGGUCCCAUUUUUGGGGGUCAUGACCCCCCUGACACCCCCUGAGUCCGUCAACAUAGAUUCUUCUUCAUCCUCCUGUGAUUCAGAACUUGGCGACAUAGAGACAGGUUACAUUCCAAUUGAGACAUGGAUAACCCGAAGAGAAGAAAUUGAGGAUCUGCUGUGUCUUUAGGAGAUGCGGAUAGUAUAUUCAGUGCAAAUAUGUAUCUAGCUACCGACAGCAGGUUUUGGAUUGAUGGAAUUAUAUCACAUUUGAUGGGACGUAUGGUUAAUCCCAAGCCAAAAUAAUCGCAUUUGCUCUUUCCACCUUUAGAAAAAUAUCUGUAUCACCACAUAAACUGUGAACUGCAUAACCACGGACUAGAGGUGUUGAAAGGAAUUGUUCUUAUGGGAACUGCCCUCGAACGGCCAGAAAACAUUCAGCUGAUAAGUACGCUUUUAGAUUUAGGCUGCAAUGUAAAUAGCAAGGACGGAAGAUCACGGAAUAUUCUACAACGAUUGGCCCUUAAGUAUUACCCUUCUAGACCUUAUCUACAAGUAGCACAGCUGAUGGUUAAACGAGGAAUUAAUAUAAACGCGAUAAAUGAUUGUGAUCACACGCCUUUGGAAUAUGCAGUAACGCAAAAAAAUCUAGAAAUGGUGCGUUUUCUUCUGAGAAAUGGACCAACAAGGGUUUUUUAUCAAUAAUUAUCAGAAUAUUGCACAUUAUGCGCUCGAGAAGAAAAGUUUAUCAUUUCUUCAUGCCAUUAUCAAAUUUUAUUUAGUUAGAAAAUCUUAAGGAAAAGAACUGGACGAAAACAUUAUGAAUAAUAGCAAAAGGGAACUUUUUCACAUUUGAUUGAAUGAUUUAGAAUCUCCCAAGCAGAAUAUUGAAUAUAAGAAUAUGUCGCUGUUCGAUAUUCUCUUCAAACCUGAAGAAGAUGUGGUGAAGUACUUCAGGAACAAGAAUGUUGUAUCAGAAGUUCGGGAAAAGAUCAUGGAAAAAUUUGAGUUUAAUUAUGAGCUUGCAGAAAUUCGGGAUAGGUAAUGCUCUAGCUAGAAUAUCUCUCGAAGAUUCAUCUCAAGGAAAGAACAGGCGUAAGAAACAUGUUCAUUGGGAAAAUUGAACGAUCUGAAGAAGCAUAAAAUUAUGGACAAAGACCUUAUUUACAAGUAGCAGAGCAGAUGGUUAAACGAAGAAUAAACAUAAACGCGAUCAAUGAUUAUGAUCAGACGCCUCUGGAAUAUGCAGUUGCUCAAAAUAAUGAAGAACUGGAGCGUUUUCUUCUGAGAAAUGGACCAACAAAGGUGUUUGUCAAAUAUCAGAAUAUUGCACAUUAUGCGGUCGAGAGGAAUAGCAUAUCAUGUCUUCAUGCCAUUAUCAAAUUUUAUUCAGUUAGAAAAUUUCAAGGAAAGGAAGUGGACGAAAAUAUUAUGAAUUUUAUCACAGCGGAGCAGAUUAGCGAACAUUACAACCUUAGUUUGAAGGAUUUAGAAUCCUUGAAGCAUGAUAUUGUGAUAGCAAUGUCUCGCUGUACGAUAUUCUCUUCAAACCUGAAGAAGAUGUGGUGAAGUACUUCAGAAACAAGAACGUUGUAUCAGAGGUUAGGGGAAAAAUCAUGGAAAAAUUUGAGUUCAGUUAUAAGCUUGUAGAAAUUCGGGAUAAUGCUCUAGCUAGAGAAUCUUGAAGAAAAGUGUCAAAAUGAAUUCCUCUUCGUCCCCCGGUGAUUCAGAACCUGGCGACAUAGAGACAGGUUACAUUCCAAUUGAGACAUGGAUAACUCGAAGAGAAGAGAUUGAAGAAAUUCAGUCUGCUGUGUCUUCAGGAGAUGCUGAUAGUAUAUUCAGUGCAAUUAUGUAUCUAGCUACCGACAGCAGGUUUUGGAUUAGUGGAAUUA
Harmonia axyridis is the source of this 1913-nucleotide long non-coding RNA. RefSeq lists it as uncharacterized. NCBI's taxonomy places the organism in Eukaryota, Metazoa, Arthropoda, Insecta, Coleoptera, Coccinellidae. The record is from RefSeq and is a predicted model, not a curated record. The transcript is spliced from 4 exons.